This is a long non-coding RNA of Numida meleagris (helmeted guineafowl), 1538 nucleotides long. RefSeq lists it as uncharacterized. NCBI's taxonomy places the organism in Eukaryota, Metazoa, Chordata, Aves, Galliformes, Numididae. The record is from RefSeq and is a predicted model, not a curated record. The transcript is spliced from 3 exons.
AUGGUGGUGUUUUUUUUUGGUUCUGUUAUUGUCUAUGAGGUUAAUACAUGCCUCACAUGAAGUUGAAACAGCACAGAUCAGACUAUUUUAAGGACACUCAUAACUCCAAUACCUUAGACAUGUUUCAACAACAAAGUGGAGUCUAAGAUCUGUGCAGAAAUCUGCAGGUUCAGGACACCUGCAAGUGUCUUGUACACUUUAUUCUGUCAAUCCCUCCUCAUUAGCAUGACUCUUCUGUCAGAGAAUAUUCCUGCAUUCUGGGGAUGUAGGGACAACAGAACAGGCCCUUGACCUGAGGUUGCUAACUGUUACCACAUCAUCUACAUAUAACAACAGUACCUUUAGAUCACUUUUUCCAAGAAGAAUUACAGUACAGAGGGACACUGAAAUGGAAAACUUGACAGCAUAGGGGAAGUAACUUCAAGAACUGCCCAUGCCCAGAGAAAGUGAGAGGCUGAGAUAUACAAGAAAUGGCAUGAGGGCACCUGCCCUGGAAUACAGAUCAGUAAGACAUGCUCACCCAACCUGAACAGACUCAGAGUACUUUCCAGUGCCUGUUAAGGCCCAAGUGCUGUGAUGCAUAGUCAAAACAAAAAACAACACAGGGACAUCAACAGUGCCAGCAAGAAAAUUUAACACAGAGACAGCAAAACUCAUGAUGACUUGUUACUGAGAGGAACAGCUUUCAAAAGAGGGUUGGCACAGACUCUGCCAAACAUCCCAGAGAGAAGUUUGACACAAGAGAGAGAGGAACAAAGUUAAGCCUCGCUACUGCCUGUGGAACAGCACUUUCUACUUUGAUCUAGAUGAGAUGCUCAGGGCCAUGUUCUGAUGCAAAUUCCUACAGUAGGAGCUAACUACAGCCUCCAGUCAGCUGCCACAGCCCUCCAGCCUGGCAUCUCUGCUGACUAGGCCCAAGGACUGCAGGCAAAUUGGUAUGUUGCUCUCAGACUACGAAAAGAAUAAGUUAUUACGUCAAAUUUUUAGGAGUCUGAGAGGUUUAGCACCUUACACACAGCACUGUGCCACUCAUAUCAGUGUUUCAGUGAGACAGCACAAGGAGAGGCAGCCAUUUUAAUCUCUCCACAUGUACCUCAUAACAAGCACUGGGAUCACUUUUGAGACAAGAUGGCCGCCACAUCCUCCUCAGAGCUUUCCACAACGAGAUGAAGUGCUCUGAUUUACAGAAACUGCUUUAUAGAAAAUUUUGACACAGCCUCUCCCUGGAGAUGAGGAUAAUUUAAGAUUCUGCAUCUGAAGCUAAUUAAACAUAAGAAACAGCAGGUGAGACCUCCAUGGAUGCUGGUGGAGAAGAGAGUGCAGCAGUCAGGUUGUAUGGAAAAUGGUCUCUGACAGCUCAGCCAUUCAAGGAGUUUGGUUAUAGCUCAUCCUGAUAAUCCUGAAAGCUUUAUGCCACUAAAUUAAUGGCUAAACCUCAGUUUCUACAACAUGUAAAAAUAAAUCAGGAGAAACGUUGGCAUCCGAACAAGCUUUUCUGUCUUAUUAUUUCCAGUAAGUGGGACUGUGGAACAAAGGUA